This 1315-nucleotide long non-coding RNA is filed under the name Salarias fasciatus (jewelled blenny). RNAcentral describes it as "lncRNA (ENSSFAG00005000552.1)". The record is from RNAcentral. Lineage: Eukaryota; Metazoa; Chordata; Actinopteri; Blenniiformes; Blenniidae.
GGAAUACAGGUUCGAAACAGCUGAAUCAGACGAGGAGGACUGGGUGGUUAUUCUCGACGUUGAGGAUGAUAGUUUAUGCUGUUCACCAGAUUCUUUGACAGACGUCGUGCUGAUAUCUACUGUUUCAGACCUAGAAGCAAGAGCCUCAUCACCAGAGUCUGUAGCGUCUGUGAGUGAGGUGAGAGCGCUCUCUCCAGACUCCCCCCUACCAGAAUUUACCGCUCCGCUGCCAGGGCGUGUCCAGAACCUGAGAUCCACAUCGUCCACACCUGAAACCUCAGCGUCUGAUGCAGAUCUCAUGCCCUGGUCCUGGGAGUCUGACUCUGCUGAAGGCAGACCGUCGUCUCCGGAGUCGGUUCAGUCUGAGGAUGAGCGUGAGGAAGACAGGCCACUGUCGCCUCAGUCGCUGCCCGAGUUCAGACCCGUGUCGUUCCAGUCCGCCGUGCACAUGAUUGACAGGAGGGCGUCGUCUCCGGAGUCGGUACCUGAGCACAACCAAAACCGGUCCCUGUCUCCAGACUCUCCCAUCCCGCAGUUUGUAGAGUUGCUGGAGGAAUACACGAUCACGUACUGGACCUCCUCACCGGAGGCCCUCAGUUCAGACUCAGAGUGUGAGCUGAUGGUCACGUCAUGGAGAGCCGCCGACGCCGACCGACCGUCCUCGCCGGAAUCCGUCUCGUCUGUCGGCGAGUUCAGACGACUCCUACCCGACUCCCCGGUACCUGAGUUCAUGAGGAUCUUAUCCUCCUAUUUUAUGGACGCCACCCCCGCUGACAGAUCGCCGUCGCCAGCGUCUGUAACGUCAGAGUCUGAGUUCGUGGCGUUACCGAUCGACUGCUGGAUCGACGACAGCCCCAGACCUCUGAGCCCUGACAGCUUUGAAUCGGGUGAGGACUCAGACUUUGGUUCUGACAGUCCUCGUAGGCUCGUCUCUGACACAGAGCUUUUGAGACAUCUCACGUCUCCAGACAAAAGGCCGAGGACAGCGUCACAAUCAUCACUUCAGACAAGCGAGACCGAGUCUGACCAGGAACCGUUUAGUCCCAAGUGGCAGCGCAGGAGCAUAUCUAAAGUUUUAAUACCUGAAGAAUGGAUUGAAUAUGGAUCAGAAGCUGGAGUGUCCUCAGCGUUACAAAGCUCUGCUCAUGAAGACCUCAUCAGUGAAGACUUGUCAGGAGGACAUGAAGACAGGGUCCUGAAGUCCUACAGAGAGAGCCAGACCACUUCUGAGAGGGCUCGUCCCGAGACGCCGCCGUCUCGGGAAGAUGAGGACGGUGAACAAGACACCAGUGAGACAGACGUGCUGGUCACUGAG